Long non-coding RNA from Homo sapiens (human), 5537 nucleotides. Ensembl annotates it as colorectal cancer associated 1. Its record names the gene COLCA1. The record is from Ensembl. Lineage: Eukaryota; Metazoa; Chordata; Mammalia; Primates; Hominidae.
AGUGCCAGGAUGCCAGCGCCUCGCCUGGUCACUGCGGGGACCGCAGCUGGACAGCAGGGAUCCCCCUCAAGCCGGGUUCCAGGAGUUAGGGUCUCCCCAGGAAAGGAGAUUGCGCUCUUCCUAGCCCGGACCCAGGGAAUCCCGUGCCCCGCCCGCAGGGCCCAGGCGCCGCGCCCUCUCCGCGCUCCAGCCUACCGCAGCCCCACCACCCCGUUCCCCGAUCGGCUCCGGACUCCGCGGGCAGCGGGCGCCCCUCGGGGAAAAGCCGUGGAAACACACCCGGAUUGAAAUGCCCCUGGCCCGCCUGACCCGACCCUAGGAGAAGCAGCCGAGUUACCCGACAUCGUGGUCAGCAGGAGCUGGGUCGGUGGCUGGAUGCUGCAGCAGCAGGGACUCAGCGCCUGGGAGGGCUCCUGGGGCAGGGAGAGAAGCAGAGAUGCAACAUUUUUAAAAUUUCACAAAGCAUCCGGCUGCACCCAGGUCCCUGGAACAGGAGACAAACAGAAUUAAUGUUUUAUACCUUCGGGUAUAGGUUUGAGUUUUUUCCCCCUCAUGCCAAGUAUUUAAAACCUCUAGAAACCCAUGAUUUGACAAUCAAUGAUUGCGCGAUACUUUCAAUUUGAAUAUUCAAAGGCUUAACAAAAUGGACUAUCUUCUGCAGAAAUCCUGCACACAGGCACCCCACAGAGAGUCCAGAGAAACAGGGAGUGAGACCCCUUUGGGUCCUGGCCCUUGCUUUUAUUAUAGUUUGAGCAUUUUGUCCUCCUUCCCACAGAUAGAGCAGAUGUCCUCAAAGAUGCUCUGUAUUUCAGCCUUCAGGGCAGCUAAGAAGCCAUGAGUGACUUAGGCUGCCCUGGCCAUGAACACCGGAGCCAGACUGGCUGGCCAGACUGAUUCCCGCAUCCCCCAUCUGUGUUUUGAGGGGAAAUCUCAGGUUUUGAGGAAUGAACAUGGCAGCUAGUGGGUGUGGCACAGCAAGAAGUCGCUCUGGGCCCAGGUGGCAGGCCAGCGGCCUAGCAGAGGCCUUCGCUCUGCACCUCCUAUUUUUCUGGCUCCGCCUGGCUACCAGCGGGCUUCCCUCCCCCUUUCAUCCCGCUCUUCCUGGGCCCGACACUGGGGUUUCUGCUCAGAAUGACUGCCCAUUAAGACCCUUUCCUCCUCCCCACAGAGCUGGGGAUGCCAGGAGCCUCAUCCUCUGGAGACUUUCUGACUCUGGGUUUCACCACCGCACUGCGAAGUGCCCUCUUUGCUUUUUCGCCUUCUAGAGCCACCCCUGCCUUUUUGCUGUAGGAGCACAUGUUAGGAAACAAUGACAAGUUUGGCUCCUGCUCAUUUUAACUGAAAGGAUGUGGACUUAGGUUCAAGCCUUCUCCCAUUGGGGUGAGAAGGGGGAGGGACUUGGGAUCAGGCUUCCCCCUUGGUCCAGGCCCAAGCCCCUCACUAAUGACUUGGGAUUCUACUGGGUCAUCUUCUGUGAGUACUUACUGUGCCUCUUCCAUGUGAUUUGGAAGGUGAGGAGACAGGAAUGGUCCACAGAGGGAGAGAGUGCCAGGCCAAGUCCUCUCAUAGCCACCCGCCCCCUCCACAGAAGGGGACAGCAAGAGAAGAGAGAGGCAUGGUGAGGUUCCUUUUGCAAAUAACCAAGAUAUUUCCAGGAUUCAAGACCAGUCCAUGGUUUUAGGCCUCUGCUGUUUAUUCUCUGAGUUCUCAGAAAUGCAAAAAGUGUAGUUUAGCCCCAGAGGCCUCAAGAAAAAGAUUGGGGUGCCCCCAAAUGUGUCAAAUACAGAGGGAAACACACAGAGCUUAGGGAAAGGGCAACUGAGAAUGACAAGACUGAUAGGAAUUGCUUGGCAGCUGAAGCCACAUCUCUGGGGGAGAGGAGCAGGCCUGGGAACACCUGAGGUGGCACCUGGCAGUGGAGGGCAGGAUGGAUGUAUUGAAAUCUGACAGCUUCUGGAACUUCUUUCUACAAAUGCCCCUGAGCCUGUGUCCUAGGUUUCCCUGAUGGACCAGACCUGAGGAGGGGAAGGACAAUGGGGGUGGAGAUGGCACCUCCCCUCCCUGCAUGCCUUCUUCCUCGCUGUGCCUAGGCCUUGCCCCCUCUGAAGGAACAGUGAACCAAGCAGCUUGGAAUCUAGGGAUGGUCUCUUGUCCUCAUAGCGUCUUCCAUUACUUCUUUUCUUCGCUGCUCUCCUCCUUUUUGUUAUACUCUUAUUUUUUGAUUUGCUUUUAAAAACCUUCUUUGUUGCAUUUUUGUUUAUUUCUUUCUGUGUUUCUUUGUCUCUCUUCCUGUCAUUGCUUUCUUCCAUUUCUUAUCUGUACUACUGGUUUUCUCCCUGGCUUCACGUGUCUCUGUGUUCCCCUAUGCUGGGGUGUCCUCCCAGUGCUUUCAGGCUUCAUCUCCUUCCUAACCUCUCCUUUCUAUUUUUUUUUUUUUUUUUUUUGAGAUGGAGUCUUGCUCAGUCGCCCAGGCUGGAGUGCUAACCUCUCCUUUCAUGUGGAGAUGGACAGGGAUGGCAGGAGCACUGAGUGCUCUUGACAACACCAUUGAAGAUGAUGCUGACGAUCAGCUACCCUGUGGAGAAGGCAGGCCAGGCUGGGUGAGAGGGGAGCUCCUUGGAAGUCAGGGGGUCUGUAAGGACAGCAAGGAUCUCUUUGUCCCAACCUCCAGCAGCCUUUAUGGGUGCUUCUGUGUUGGCCUUGUUUCUGGGAUGGCCAUCUCAGUGCUGUUGCUGGCUAGCGAUUUCAGAAAACUAGAUUUUUCUAGGCCUGAGCCCUGUUUUGAGAAAGAAGCUUCCCUCUGGUUUGUAGCUCAACAUUAAUGAGUUUUGGUUCCUGUUGUUUCUAUAAUUACAAAACCCCAGCACAGGUAUUUAAGAGCCAAAGGCCAUGCUUGUGGAAGUAAGGGAGGAUCUUUCUAAAUGGAUCCUGCAAAUCCUCCUUACAGAUCUGAGUGGAUGAUCAGGCCCAGAGCAACCCUGAGACCCCAGGUACCCACAGCAUUGGCUGUUCUUCAUAGGAGACUCAGAGAAGACUUCAUAGGAGACUCAUUAUUGUUUACUGGACAUCAGGUGCUAUAUUGUAUAGCAUUCACAUUCCACAGGUGAGGAAACAGGCUCAGAGGAAUAAGUGGCAUGCCAAGAUCACUGAGUAUAUCAGUAGCAGAAUUAGGAUUCAGACUUUGUUAGGCCUAACUCCAAAGCCCUGGCUUUUUUUUUUUUUGAGAUGGAAUCUUACUCUGUCACCGGGCUGGAGUGCAGUGGCAUGAUCUCAGCUCACUGCAAUCUCUGCCUCCUGGGUUCAAGUGAUUCCCCUGCCUUAGCCUCCUGAGUAGCUGGGACUACAGGCAUGCACCACCACGCCCAGCUAAUUUUUGUGUUUUUAGUAGAGAGGAGGUUUCACCGUGUUGGCCAGGAUGGUCUCAAUCUCUUGACCUUGUGAUCUGCCUGCCUCGGCCUCCCAAAGUACUGGGAUUAUAGGCAUGAGCCACCAUGCCCGGCCUUUGCUCUUAACUACUGAUGUUGUCUUCCUGAUCUUUUCUACAAGAAGCUUUUAAACUUUUUGGACUUUAACCUACAAUAAGAAAUCCAUUUUACAUGUUCACAUGUAUCUAUAACAACAUUUAUAUUUCUAAAACAAACUUUUCAUGAAACAAGAUAUACCUACAUAUGUCAGGCACUCUGAUAUUUUCUAUUCUAGUCCACCUUUUCCAUUUCAUUCUAUUUAUGGGAAAUAUAUGUUGGUUGGGAGUCACUGAGUUAAUUUAAUGACCCACUAAUAGGCUGUGAGUGGCAUUGGAAAAAUACCUGCUUGUAAGAUAUGCGAACACACGUUUCAAGGUUGUUUGUGCAUGUGGAAAUAUUUUGGGGUGCUAUCUGUUUUACCAUCAGUUUGUACAAGGACACUAAGACAGUGUAGCCUGCUGACUUGAGAAUGUUCUGUAAGGACUGGAAACACUAGAAUCUUGAAGAAACGCCUGGCUAGAGGUGAGGGUAAGCUGUUAAUUACACUGAUUACAGUUUGUGCCUCUCAGACUGAGAACUCUUUUCUUCUUGCUGGGGGCAUUGCUAUCUCUAGGAUGUUUGCCCUGAAGUCCUGAUAGUCUCUUUGGGGUUUUAAUAAAUGGCUGAAAAAAUUGUUGUGGGGUUUCAACAGGCGUUCAUAGGCACCCUUGCUUGGCAAUAUAACAUGGCUUUUGAUGUUUGGGUGUUGGAAGGGAUCUUUGAAGUGCUGAGAGGGACUCAGUCUUUUUCCAAAAUCUCUGCUUGUGUCUGUCCAGCCUCUGGCUCCACUGCUUGGCUGAGAUCCUGGCCCAUAGUAGAAUCUGUGUAGAGGAAACGAGAGCUCACUAUUUGUGAGGCAGCCUGUUCCACUAUUGGACUGCUUUAAAUGUAGUGAUCAGUGAUUAUGCUAUAAUCCAAUCAUGUAUUAAUUGGGCACCAACUAUGCACUAGGCAUGGUAUCAAGUACCAGGAGUACAAAAAUAAGUAAACCUUGAUUUCUGCUAUCAAUUACUCUCUUCUCCUACUUCUGUACUACUGCUUUUCUAUUGUGAGUUUGUUUAGUUCAUUAAUUGGUUUAUUCAUUCAUUCAACAAUCAUAUACUGAUUAGCUACUCUGACCAGGUCCAGUACUAACUCUGAAGAAGUUAUGCCCAUCCCAUCUUCACCCCAAGCCUUCUCCUUUUGAGACUCCUCAUCCAGUUUCUUUAGUUCUUCAUAUAUCACUGUUUUUCAGAUCUCUGGCUAUCCUUGCCAUUGACCUCAGAAAUCCUGUAUUUGACCUUAACCUUCUUAUACCCAGUCCAUACCCAAAGUGAUGGAAAUGGAAUAGAUUUCUUUUUAAAGUUUUAAACGAAUAUUUUGACUGAAAAAUUUUGGCAGUCUUGUAUGCAAAUGACACUGCAGAGCAUUGUUUUCUCCCCCCCACGUAGGAGAUUUUAUUCAACUAAGGCACAGGCAUAUUAAAAGACUUUCAGUAUAAGGAAAAGGGGUAGUUUAUUCCCUCCAAAUUUGACUACAGCUCGAAAUUGUCUUUAUUAAUGCAAAGUUCUUUUGUCACCUUGACUUUGGGACACUGUUACCAAACCUCGUGGGAAAUAUCAAGUUCCAGAAGAUUGAAUACAUGCAGGAAACAAAUGUUUUUUGGGCCCUAGAGUGAACAUUUGGUCCAUAUGAAAAUGACCAGGAAGACAAUUAGGUGAAGGUUUUUUAAUGAUUUGUGCUACGUCAGUCUCUUCCCAUAAGACAUAUUCAAAGUUUUAACUUUUCCUUAAGAGGCUUCCAUGGGGAGCAAGCAUUUGAUAAUUCAUCCUUUAAGAAAAACACCACCGUACACUGCUUGAAGAGUUCCUCUUCUAUUACUUAAAACGUUUUUAUUGUGCAACAUUUAAGGCAUACAAAAACAUAUAAAGAAUACCAUGAUGAAAAUCUAUGACUGUAUUACCAAGCUUAAGAAAUAAAACAGUUGAGUGAUCUCUCAUUUAUGACUAAAUUAACUUAUUAAAACCAUUAAAACUUUUGGAUUAUUCCUGUUAA